UGCGAACUCCUACGGGAGGCAGCAGUGGGGAAUAUUGGACAAUGGGCGAAAGCCUGAUCCAGCCAUGCCGCGUGUGUGAAGAAGGUCUUCGGAUUGUAAAGCACUUUAAGUUGGGAGGAAGGGCAUUAACCUGAUACGUUGGUGUCUUGACGUUACCGACAGAAUAAGCACCGGCUAACUCUGUGCCAGCAGCCGCGGUAAUACAGAGGGUGCAAGCGUUAAUCGGAAUUACUGGGCGUAAAGCGCGCGUAGGUGGUUUGUUAAGUUGAAUGUGAAAUCCCCGGGCUCAACCUGGGAACUGCAUACAGAACUGGCAAGCUAGAGUAUGGGAGAGGGUAGUGGAAUUUCCUGUGUAGCGGUGAAAUGCGUAGAUAUAGGAAGGAACACCAGUAGCGAAGGCGCCUACCUGGACUGAUACUGACACUGAGGUGCGAAAGCGUGGGGAGCAAACAGGAUUAGAACCCCGUGUAGUCCAGAUG
Molecule: ribosomal RNA, 479 nt
Filed under: uncultured bacterium
Lineage: Bacteria
Description: bacterial SSU rRNA
Rfam family: Bacterial small subunit ribosomal RNA
Source: RNAcentral